AGUGAACGCUGGCGGUAGGCCUAACACAUGCAAGUCGAACGGCAGCACAGUAAGAGCUUGCUCUUACGGGUGGCGAGUGGCGGACGGGUGAGGAAUACAUCGGAAUCUACUUUUUCGUGGGGGAUAACGUAGGGAAACUUACGCUAAUACCGCAUACGACCUACGGGUGAAAGCAGGGGAUCUUCGGACCUUGCGCGAUUGAAUGAGCCGAUGUCGGAUUAGCUAGUUGGCGGGGUAAAGGCCCACCAAGGCGACGAUCCGUAGCUGGUCUGAGAGGAUGAACAGCCACACGGGAACUGAGACACGGUCCAGACUCCUACGGGAGGCAGCAGUGGGGAGUAUUGGACAAUGGGCGCAAGCCGGAUCCAGCCAUACCGCGUGGGUGAAGAAGGACUUCGGGUUGUAAAGCCCUUUUGUUGGGAAAGAAAAGCAGCAGCUUAAUACCCCGCUGUUCUGACGGUACCCAAAGAAUAAGCACCGGCUAACUUCGUG
Molecule: ribosomal RNA, 492 nt
Filed under: uncultured bacterium
Lineage: Bacteria
Description: partial 16S ribosomal RNA
Rfam family: Bacterial small subunit ribosomal RNA
Source: RNAcentral